Molecule: ribosomal RNA, 220 nt
Filed under: uncultured bacterium
Lineage: Bacteria
Description: partial 16S ribosomal RNA
Rfam family: Bacterial small subunit ribosomal RNA
Source: RNAcentral
UAAUACAUCGGAACGUGUCUUCUAGUGGGGGAUAACUGCCCGAAAGGGCAGCUAAUACCGCAUGAGACCUGAGGGUGAAAGCGGGGGAUCGCAAGACCUCGCGCUGGAAGAGCGGCUGAUGUCCGAUUAGCUAGUUGGUGAGGUAAAGGCUCACCAAGGCGACGAUCGGUAGCUGGUCUGAGAGGACGACCAGCCACAUUGGGACUGAGACACGGCCCAG